Molecule: long non-coding RNA, 435 nt
Filed under: Mytilus galloprovincialis (Mediterranean mussel)
Lineage: Eukaryota; Metazoa; Mollusca; Bivalvia; Mytilida; Mytilidae
Source: RNAcentral
CUUGUCUCUGGUGUUAGGUAUGGGUUCUUAAAAGUGAAACAUACCUAUUACCGUGUAUGUACCAGUUUUAGCGCUAGACCGAUGACCUGCUACUUAUUCGCUUACAAUAUGUUUGUUAAAGGUAACACCUUUUUAAACAAAUCUUUUCCAUUUUUUUUUCUUGCCUCUGAUGCUAUAUAUUGGUUCUAAGAGGUAAAAUAACCCUAUACUAAGGCGUAAAUACUCGUUUCAGUGCUCAACUGAUGCCCUGUUACUUAUUCGUUCCAUAUUCGCUUACUAUACGUGUGGUAUUCGGUGCACCUUUUAAAAAAUAUCUUUUCAAUUGUAUUUAUUCAUUAUUAUUUUUUAUUUUCUGUAAAUUACUCAUCUGCCGUUAUACGUAAUUUUUUUCUGACAAUUCUUUGUUUAUGAUUACUUAUGACAUGUUAAUCAAAA